CAUGUCAGUGUGUUUGGGGGCAGUCUGGGUUCUACAUGCAGCAUCAAGUUCCCACCCAGCUGCCUGAUGGAAAAUGAGCGGAUCUCAACUAGUGUAGCAAAGUGCAGAUGACAACCUGUUCCCCUGGAGGCGACACCUGCUCCCUGGAGGUGCAGCUAAGUGAUCAGGAAGUGUUCAGCAUCAGUCUGGUGCUGAGCAGGGAACCGUUGAUCGUCAGAAGCAUGAGACCCCUCCCUGUACACAGCUGGGCAGCCUCCACCCGAACACCACCCGCAGAGCAGCAGCACUGUAACAUCAUUCAUGGCUGAAUCUAUAUUUUGUAAGAAAAAUAAAUAACAAAAAACAAAGCCGCCUGUCUCCCUGAUCCUCCUGUAGGAUCUUAUUGCACGACAACAAACACAUUAAAAGUGUGUCGCAUCUGGGUUUUCUUCCUCAGUUUGGAUUUGGACAGAUUUAGUGUUUGUUCCCUCCUGGUUAUUUAUUGUGAACAUCACGAUUCUUUGAUUAAAAAAAUUAAAAUCUUGAAAAACAA
Molecule: long non-coding RNA, 532 nt
Organism: Osmerus eperlanus (European smelt)
Lineage: Eukaryota; Metazoa; Chordata; Actinopteri; Osmeriformes; Osmeridae
Exons: 2
Source: RefSeq, a predicted model, not a curated record